Molecule: long non-coding RNA, 1103 nt
Filed under: Rattus norvegicus (Norway rat)
Lineage: Eukaryota; Metazoa; Chordata; Mammalia; Rodentia; Muridae
Description: long non-coding RNA NONRATT031299
Source: RNAcentral
UCCUGAAUCGUGACAGGGUCCAAGGAAUUGGGGAGCACUUGGAGAGCUAUGGGUAGUAAUUCUCGAAAGAUUUGAAGUUUGAUAUCAAUCCCACCAGGGAAAAGAGCUCCAAGUUGGUGGCACUUCACUAUUAGGUUCUCUGAUAUUCCCCAUGCCAUGCCACGUCCUCCAAAAGGGUUCCGUUUAACCAAUAUGUUCUAUCUUCUUCCUAACAACGAAAAAUUGUGUCUCAAGAUGGGAUUCGGUGGGAACAGUCAGUUCCUAACUUUUAAUUCUUAAACUUGUAACUGCCACUUGAUGGACAGGUGAUUAGAAACAGCCUGUGAUAGCUCUAUUGUAAUCACAAACUGCUACUUAGACCUUAAGUUCAGAUCUGUACCUUUAAUGUCCCAUGUGUGUUACUUCCUGGGGGGUGGGCACCACCGCGCCACCCACAAAACUGGGCAUACCUAUGAAGCAGGUGAGCAUCAAUGACAGGUUACUGAUUGAUCUGAUGAGAGCUGGGUAUCAAACUCUGAGGUAGCUGACCUCUGUCCUCCUCUCUCCUCAGGCAGUUACUCCAGGUGCUUCACUGCCCAGGGCCUGCCAUUCAUGGCUCAGUGCCCCCAUGGUACCACCUCACCCCGUCUUAACAUCCAAGAUUUGUAUUACUUUCAAUAUCCUCUGAUCCUAAAGACACCUUCCUAUUCAAUUUCUUCCCUACACAGUGUUAAACGAGCUAACUGGUUAACUAACCCUUGCUGACAAGCGUUAUGGACGAGGCUUACAGGAGAACCUCAGGAGACGGAGUUACUUUAACCAGAGUCAGGCAGCAGCAAUCCCCCUGCUUUUGUGAUGGCAUAAUGGAGUCAGGAGUCAAGUGGUGGUCCUCACCUCCCAGUGGCUAAUAUGUGAUUCCCUCCUGGCUCCCACAGCACUUUGUAUAUACCUCUCAUUGUAGCACAUGUAUGUAGUUCUUUGAUUGUGUUCAUGUAUGUCCCCCUCCAAUAGACUGUGAGCUCCUCAAGGCCAGGAGCUGUGUGCUAGUCAGUGAUGUAUCCCCAGCACCUAGCCACAGUGCCUGAUACACAGUAGGUGCUCAAUAAAUGUUUAUUGAAAGGCUG